AUUGAACGCUGGCGACAUGCCUUACACAUGCAAGUCGAACGGCAGCACGGGUGCUUGCACCUGGUGGCGAGUGGCGAACGGGUGAGUAAUACAUCGGAACAUGUCCUGUAGUGGGGGAUAGCCCGGCGAAAGCCGGAUUAAUACCGCAUACGAUCUACGUAUGAAAGCGGGGGACCUUCGGGCCUCGCGCUAUAGGGUUGGCCGAUGGCUGAUUAGCUAGUUGGUGGGGUAAAGGCCUACCAAGGCGACGAUCAGUAGCUGGUCUGAGAGGACGACCAGUCACACUGGGACUGAGACACGGCCCAGACUCCUACGGGAGGCAGCAGUGGGGAAUUUUGGACAAUGGGCGAAAGCCUGAUCCAGCAAUGCCGCGUGUGUGAAGAAGGCCUUCGGGUUGUAAAGCACUUUUGUCCGGAAAGAAAUCCUUGGCCCUAAUACGGUCGGGGGAUGACGGUACCGGAAGAAUAAGCACCGGCUAACUACGUG
Molecule: ribosomal RNA, 486 nt
Filed under: uncultured bacterium
Lineage: Bacteria
Description: partial 16S ribosomal RNA
Rfam family: Bacterial small subunit ribosomal RNA
Source: RNAcentral